RNAcentral lists this ribosomal RNA (428 nucleotides) under Bacteroidota bacterium. RNAcentral describes it as "Bacteroidetes bacterium partial 16S ribosomal RNA". It matches the Rfam family "Bacterial small subunit ribosomal RNA", at positions 355 to 776 of the family's 1533-position model. The record is from RNAcentral. Lineage: Bacteria; Pseudomonadati; Bacteroidota.
UAGGGAAUCUUCCGCAAUGGACGCAAGUCUGACGGAGCAACGCCGCGUGAGUGAAGAAGGAUUUCGGUUCGUAAAACUCUGUUGUUAGAGAAGAACAGCGCAUAGAGUAACUGUUAUGCGUGUGACGGUAUCUAACCAGAAAGCCACGGCUAACUACGUGCCAGCAGCCGCGGUAAUACGUAGGUGGCAAGCGUUGUUCGGAUUUAUUGGGCGUAAAGCGAGCGCAGGCGGUUAGAUAAGUCUGAAGUUAAAGGCAGUGGCUCAACCAUUGUAGGCUUUGGAAACUGUGUAACUUGAGUGCAGAAGGGGAGAGUGGAAUUCCAUGUGUAGCGGUGAAAUGCGAGGAUAUAAGGAGGAACACCGGUGGCGAAAGCGGCUCUCUGGUCUGUAACUGACGCUGAUGUGCGAAAGCGUGGGGAUCAAACAGG